This 253-nucleotide ribosomal RNA is filed under the name uncultured prokaryote. Its description in RNAcentral is "partial 16S ribosomal RNA". It matches the Rfam family "Bacterial small subunit ribosomal RNA", at positions 524 to 776 of the family's 1533-position model. The record is from RNAcentral.
UACGUAGGGUGCGAGCGUUAAUCGGAAUUACUGGGCGUAAAGCGUGCGCAGGCGGUUGGUUAAGUCUGAUGUGAAAGCCCCGGGCUCAACCUGGGAAUGGCAUUGGAAACUGGCCAGCUAGAGUGUGGCAGAGGGGGGUGGAAUUCCGCGUGUAGCAGUGAAAUGCGUAGAGAUGUGGAGGAACACCGAUGGCGAAGGCAGCCUCCUGGGCCAAUACUGACGCUCAUGCACGAAAGCGUGGGGAGCAAACAGG